Molecule: long non-coding RNA, 964 nt
Organism: Juglans regia (Persian walnut)
Lineage: Eukaryota; Viridiplantae; Streptophyta; Magnoliopsida; Fagales; Juglandaceae
Exons: 2
Source: RefSeq, a predicted model, not a curated record
CUUUUUUUUUUUAUCUUUUUUUAUCGAUUUUUUAACGCUCUGUUACCUAGACAAAUACCCAAAUUCGAAAUCUCACGUAGAAGCACACAUCCCGCGUUGCCCAGCACCUGCCCAGCUCCUCCCUCGCAUCGCCUCCCUCUGCCCAGCUCCACCCUGCGAUGGGUUCCCUCUGUUCAGCGCCGCCACUCCCCGCAAGGUCAUUGAACGGUGUCGCACCUCCCGCGAGCUGAUCGAAACCCCCCUUCUUCUUCUCUGUGAAUCUCUCAAGUUUCCUCACAAAACCCACAGAUCUUCUUCUUAUUCUCUGUGAAUCGCGGAGUGGCGCUGACGAGGUUGACAACCCAGCAUUCCGAAUUUGCUUCUCUGUGAAUCAUGGAACUCAGGAUCUAUAGAUUUUUCCUUUAUUUUUUCCCCUUGCUUGAAACAUGCAUUUUACGCUUAGAAGAGGCCAUUUCGAGCGCCCCGAGUCUCCAGUUCGGGGCUGUUUCGUCGCCCUCUACCCAGCUUCAUAGUCUAUGAAUGGCAGGUAUAGCUUGAGCUGCAUCCCCUUUCGCGAGGUCCAUGAUUUCAAAGGUUGUGGUUUCCUGUUUUGAUACUGAUUUUUAGAGCAAUGUGCACCAUAUAUAAGAGGCCAUGAUGUAAUCCAUUCAAGAACUUCUUAGCAUGAUCACCCUAUGUGCGAUUUUUGCGCGUUGAUGCACACAGGGAGUCUAGUCCACUCUGAACGCAGCAAAGUUGCAGAAUUGAGAUUUGUGCAUGCUGGACUGAGAUUGUGAUCAACUUUACCUAAUUUCCUAUGUUAAUUGAAUUUCCUAUGUUAAUUGAAAUUGAGCUGUUAUUUAACUAUGUAGUCUUUUCACCUAGGCCGUUGAAUUCCAUUGAAACCAACUCCACUUUUGCAUGUUGACAAGGUACAUUUGCUGAAAUUGUGGUGAUCGUUAAUGGAGAUGUAUAUUAUAAUAUA